Molecule: long non-coding RNA, 296 nt
Organism: Saccostrea echinata
Lineage: Eukaryota; Metazoa; Mollusca; Bivalvia; Ostreida; Ostreidae
Exons: 3
Source: RefSeq, a predicted model, not a curated record
UGUCCCUGAGAGCAGACAAUAAUGGAAUUGAAAGCAGUUAUUUGCCCUACUUUAAUAAAGAAAAGAAGAAUUCAGCAUACAAUAGAUUCUUUUACCAAUGUGCCCCCUGGAAAAGGCUACUGGACACAAAUAUUAGCAUUAACAUAUGUGUACUUUAAUUUAGGACAAGUGAGUCAGAGAGGGAUUGUGACAUAGUGUAGAUUGCUGACACUUGUUGGAAGGAUACCUUUCAGUUACCUACAAUUCUACCAACUGGAAAAAUCAGUACUAAUGCCACUUGUGUUACUGGACUAUUA